Molecule: ribosomal RNA, 433 nt
Filed under: uncultured bacterium
Lineage: Bacteria
Description: partial 16S ribosomal RNA
Rfam family: Bacterial small subunit ribosomal RNA
Source: RNAcentral
AAUGAACGCUGGCGGCAGGCCUAACACAUGCAAGUCGAGCGAGCAUUUCGGUGCUAGCGGCGGACGGGUGAGUAACGCGUGGGAACGUGCCCUUUUCUGCGGAAUAGUCCUGGGAAACUGGGGGUAAUACCGCAUACGCCCUUUUGGGGAAAGAUUUAUCGGAGAAGGAUCGGCCCGCGUUGGAUUAGGUAGUUGGUGGGGUAAUGGCCCACCAAGCCGACGAUCCAUAGCUGGUUUGAGAGGAUGAUCAGCCACACUGGGACUGAGACACGGCCCAGACUCCUACGGGAGGCAGCAGUGGGGAAUCUUAGACAAUGGGGGCAACCCUGAUCUAGCCAUGCCGCGUGAGUGAUGAAGGCCUUAGGGUUGUAAAGCUCUUUCAGCUGGGAAGAUAAUGACGGUACCAGCAGAAGAAGCCCCGGCUAACUCUGUG